RNAcentral lists this long non-coding RNA (558 nucleotides) under Oryza sativa Indica Group (long-grained rice). RNAcentral's name for it is "lncRNA OsZS97_01G039660". Lineage: Eukaryota; Viridiplantae; Streptophyta; Magnoliopsida; Poales; Poaceae. The record is from RNAcentral.
ACAAGCAUUCCCAAUUCCCCAUCGGGCAACGGCUCCGGUGCGGCGGUGCCCAACCCGUACUACUCCUUCAGGCUCGUGAUCGACGGCCCGUACGUGGAGCCGUCGUGCCGCUUCCCUCUGGCGCCUGCGGCGGCGGCGGCGGUGGCGCGCUGCUGGUCGUGCUGGAAGUCGCGCCGGAUGGACCAGAGGACCUCGGCGCAACGCCGCAUGGCAGGGCGCGCCGCGCGGUCCGGCGCGGUGCACUCGGCCGCCAGCGCCAUCACUUUCUCCAUGGCCGCCACCACCGCGCUGGUCCUCCGCAUCCGGGCGUCCAUCGCCACCACCGCAUCGCCGUCCCGGCACUUCCGCAGCGCCUGCGUCCACACGUUAGGAUGUGGUUUUUACCCAUUGCGUGGUGAGGCGUUGGUGGCGGCCGCGGCCGCGCUCGAUGGGGCGUCGGCCGGUGAGGAGCUCCACGAGGAGGACGCCGAAGGAGUAGACGUCGCUGCGGUCGGUGAGUUGGUUCGUCCGCAUGUACUCUGGGUCUACGUAUCCUGCAGUGCCCUUCACCAUUGUUGA